UAAGGAAUAUUGCGCAAUGGGCGAAAGCCUGACGCAGCGACGCCGCGUGGGGGAUGAAGGUCUUCGGAUUGUAAACCCCUUUCGGGAGGGAAGAUGGAAUGGGGUAACCCAUUCGGACGGUACCUCCAGAAGCAGCCACGGCUAACUUCGUGCCAGCAGCCGCGGUAAUACGAAGGUGGCAAGCGUUAUUCGGAUUUACUGGGCGUACAGGGAGCGUAGGCGGUUCGGUAAGCCCUCUGUGAAAUCUUCAGGCUUAACCUGGAAAAGUCGGGGGGGACUGCCGGGCUAGAGGACGGGAGAGGAGCGCGGAAUUCCCGGUGUAGCGGUGAAAUGCGUAGAGAUCGGGAGGAAGGCCGGUGGCGAAGGCGGCGCUCUGGAACGUUUCUGACGCUGAGGCUCGAAAGCGUGGGGAGCAAACAGGAUUAGAUACCCUGGUAGUCCACGCCUUAAACGAUGUCAACUGGUUGUUGGGUCUCUUCUGACUCAGUAACGAAGCUAACGCGUGAAGUUGACCGCCUGGGGAGUACGGCCGCAAGGUUG
Molecule: ribosomal RNA, 540 nt
Filed under: uncultured bacterium
Lineage: Bacteria
Description: bacterial SSU rRNA
Rfam family: Bacterial small subunit ribosomal RNA
Source: RNAcentral